This is a long non-coding RNA of Salvia miltiorrhiza (redroot sage), 348 nucleotides long. RefSeq lists it as uncharacterized. NCBI's taxonomy places the organism in Eukaryota, Viridiplantae, Streptophyta, Magnoliopsida, Lamiales, Lamiaceae. The transcript is spliced from 2 exons. The record is from RefSeq and is a predicted model, not a curated record.
AGGCUUUGUGGACCAAGGGGAUUAGCACUGCUUUCCCAAGACAGGUUAUGUGAUUAUGAUCUUCAGGCUUUGCCUAUCCAGGUUGAGCAGUUGAUGGAAUGGAAUGAUGUUGAGCGGGUGUUCCUUUGACAUUUCAAGAAAUGUAACCUUGAGUAUACAUCUUCAUAUGUAUAUCUCACACGUUUUCCGCUGCAAAACACUUUGAUUAGGAUAACUUUAUGUUAUGAAAUUGCGACACGUGUUAUUGGGUAACCCACCUUAAUCAGUUCUCAUUUAUGUAUAUGUUUUAUAAGUAUCCAAAUAAUCAUAUAUGAUCCUAGCAUUUUAUCUAUGAGUGACAUUUCUAUA